GGCUGCGGCUUUUCGGCGAGCGAAGGGACGGCUGGUCUGCGCGGGACUUGGCGGGGCUAAAAGCUGAGAAGUCCUCCUCAAAACGCCGAAGGGGCCCGUCGUUACCGCAGAUAACGCGGUGAGGAACGCCAAGGAGAGCGCGCAGGGAGAACAAAAGGACCCAGGGCUCACCCGUACCUCCAAGAUGCUUGCUUUUGAUGAAGAGGAGGAAGAAAAAAGAGGAGGUAGCGACCACACAUUGACCUUUCACUGUGAAUACCAAAGGAGAUAUUGAGGGUAAGUCUUGUUUUUGCUCCAUGGGGAGUCAGCAACACAGGGUUCCAAGAGUGAGACUAAAAUGAGCCGUGCUCUAACAAGGCCUUGUUUGCCAGAGUCAGACAAGAAUGGACCGUUACAAAACAUGGUGGAAUAUUUGUUAUUGUAGUACUGGAUUUCCAAAAUCCAUAGUCUUUUUGUGGCUGACAAGCUCACUCUUUUCUUUGCCUCGUUACUGCAGCUGUCGGAGGUCUGCACCCCUGCCUGGAAAACAUGAGCAGCAGCUAGAAAGCAAUCCUAGCAAAAAUCUGCAUCAUUCAUGCGUAAUCAGACAAAUGCUUGGGAGAUUUACAAAGGAGGGAGGAGGCAGAGAAAACUCACAAUGCUGCAAUCAUUUACAUUAUUUCUAGUUGCUUUGCAAGUGUCACUUUUAGGAUUAAAAUGCAUUAAGUGUAAUUUUCAUAUAGAACUUUGUGCUUUAGCUCAAUUGGGUUUUAAUUUGCAUCCUGUGGUGACCAAGUAACAUUUGGCAAAUAGACCAUGUCUGUUUAUAACACAUACCUCCAUUUUGUCUUGGUAGUAUUGUAUACAUAUUUACUUUAACUUGAAAGCAUACUCUGUAUUGCAGCUUACUGCUUACCUCAAAGAUUCUCUCCACAGCUCAUCCUGGAUGCUUUGUUCAGCUCAGGCCACACCUAACACCCAGGAUGGCAGUGCGAUACUGCAGGGAAGCCACUAGGUGUAGGAGCAGACAAUCACUGCUUUACACGUUUCUGUUCGGUGAUCCAGGAGGAAGAUACACAGGCAGCUCAUUUGAAGCACUGCAUUCUUGUAGUUCAUAGGAUUAUAGAACAGCCUGGGUUGAAAAGGACCACAGUGCUCAUCCAGUUUCAACCCCCUACUAAGUACAGGGUCACCAACCAGCAGACCAGGCUGCCCAGAGCCACAUCCAGCCUGGCCUUGAAUGCCUUCAGAGAUGGGGCAUCCAGAAUCUCCUUGGGCAACCUGUUCCAGUGUGUCAUCACCCUCUGUGUGGAAAACUUACUUCUAAUAUUUAACCUAAAUCUCCCCUGUCUUAGUUCAAAACCAUUCCCCCUUGUUCUGUCACUAUCCACCUUGUAAGCAGAUAUUCCCCCUCCUGUUUAUGUGCUCCUUUCAAGUACUGGAAGGCCAUAAUGAGGUCUCACUGGAACCUUUUCUUCUCCAAGCUAAACAAUCCCAAUUCCCUCAACCUUUCCUCAUAGGAGAGGUGCUCCAGCCCUCUGAUCAUUAGUGGCCAUCUUCUGGACCCGAUCCAAGAACUCCACAUCCUUCCUGUAUGCAGUACACCAGGUGGGGUCUCACAAGAGCUGAGCAGGGACAAUCACCUCCCCUUCCCUGCUGGCCACCCCUUUUCCAACGCAGCCCAGAAUACAGUUGGCCUUCUGGGCUGCACAUGCACACUGCUGGCUUGUGUCCAGCUUCUCAUCUAUCAGGCCCUCCACAAGUCCUUCUCCACAGGGCUGCUCUCAAGGAGAUCUUCGCCCAGUUUGUAUAAAGACCUGUAAUUGCUCAGACCCAAGUGCAGCACCCUGCACUUGGCCUUAUGACUGCUGACUGAAUCCAAAACACUUUGGAGUGUUUGUAGCCAGUCUGAUUUUGGUAUAUUGCUAGGUUUCAUUCAGGGCCACCUCAUGCUAACCCUAACCCUGUAGCAAGCACAGGAGCCAACCUAGAACAGCCAAGAUCAGAAUCCCAACUUUAUACAUUUGCACCAUGUUGGUGCUCCUCCACUGACAAUGCUUGUAGUUCUGCAGCAUGCUUCAUCUGUAAACACAAGCCUGAUUAUUCAAACUGUAUUUUACUAUGCUUUUUUUACCACUUUUAGUGGUUGACUUUACAUCAACAAGAGUAUUGCUGUUCUGUUUGCAUACGUAAGGGGGAAGGUAAAAAUCUUGAGUUCUUACCUGUCUUCAAACGUUCCAAAAUAUUUAGGUUAGAGACAUCAGCUGUCUACUAUGCAGCCAUUUCUCUCUACAAGAACCACAUUUUAAGAUUUGCCCAUUUUUUACUACUCCUGCUAUUUAAAAUUUCAUCUUCUCUCUUACUUGAUGACAUGAAAGCUUUGAUGUAACAGUAGAUGUUUAAUAACUUCCUCACCAACAAAGUUCACAUUCAUGAUGACUGGAUGCUUACAGAUCCAUGGGGUAGAAUAAAUAAUUUACUAACAUUAUAUUUAGUGCAAGGAGAAAGAUCUGACUCCUGUUGUACAAUAAUGGUAUUUUUAACAUAAAAUCUGAAAGAAAGACUACAUACCAGCUGUCAGCAUUUUAAAUAUGUUUAUUCAGCAGCUAUAACAGUCUGCCUCCAAAAAAUUGGAGUCCCCUUUUGUUUCUGAACCGUGUCAAGUGACAGAAAUGCCUGCUAGGAACAUCGAAGAAGCUACAUGGUGCACUCCUUUCUGAGAAACAGACAUGUCUAACAGGGAUUAAUCUCUCUGAGAAGGCAAAAUAUAAAUAUAUACACUCUAAAUCCACAACAACAGUUUAAACGCACUACAGUAAUUCAAGUGGGAUAAGAGUGAACAAA
Molecule: long non-coding RNA, 2823 nt
Organism: Tympanuchus pallidicinctus (lesser prairie-chicken)
Lineage: Eukaryota; Metazoa; Chordata; Aves; Galliformes; Phasianidae
Exons: 2
Source: RefSeq, a predicted model, not a curated record